UCCGGUUGAUCCUGCCAGAGGUCACUGCUAUCGGUGUUCGUCUAAGCCAUGCGAGUCAUAUGUUCUUCGUGAACAUGGCAUAUUGCUCAGUAACACGUGGAUAACCUGCCCUUGGGACCGGCAUAACCCCGGGAAACUGGGGAUAAUAUCGGAUACUCCGUAUCUGCUGGAAUGCUUUACGUUUUAAACGGUUUUUUUCCGCCCAAGGAUGGGUCUGCGGCCUAUCAGGUAGUAGCGGGUGUAAUGUACCUGCUAGCCUACGACGGGUACGGGUUGUGAGAGCAAGAGCCCGGAGAUGGAUUCUGAGACAAUAAUCCAGGCCCUACGGGGCGCAGCAGGCGCGAAAUCUUUACAAUGCGGGUCACCGUGAUAAGGGGACACCGAGUGCUAGCAAGAAUUGCUGGCUGUCCAGGUGCUUAACUUGCACCUGUUAGCAAGGGCCGGGCAAGACCGGUGCCAGCCGCCGCGGUAACACCGGCGGCCCGAGUGGUGAUCGUUAUUAUUGGGUCUAAAGGGUCCGUAGCCUGUUUGGUCAGUCUUCCGGGAAAUCUGCCAGCUUAACUGGUAGUCUAUCGGUGGAUACUGCCAGACUUGGAACCGGGUGAGGUAAGAGGUACUACAGGGGUGGGAGUGAAAUCUUGUAAUCCCUGUAGGACUACCUGUGGCGAAGGCGUCUUACCAGAACGGGUUCGGCGGUGAGGGACGAAAGCUGGGGGCACGAACCGGAUUAGAUACCCGGGUAGUCCCAGCUGUAAACUAUGCUCGCUAGGUGUCAGGCACGGUGCGACCGUGUUUGGUGCCGCAGGGAAGCCGUGAAGCGAGCCACCUGGGAAGUACGGCCGCAAGGCUGAAACUUAAAGGAAUUGGCGGGGGAGCACAACAACGGGUGGAGCCUGCGGUUUAAUUGGACUCAACGCCGGAAAACUCACCGGGGGCGACAGCAAUAUGUAGGUCAGGCUAAAGACCUUACCUGAAUCGCUGAGAGGAGGUGCAUGGCCGUCGCCAGUUCGUACUGUGAAGCAUCCUGUUAAGUCAGGUAACGAGCGAGAC
RNAcentral lists this ribosomal RNA (1050 nucleotides) under unidentified archaeon. RNAcentral describes it as "bacterial SSU rRNA". It matches the Rfam family "Archaeal small subunit ribosomal RNA", at positions 1 to 1051 of the family's 1478-position model. The record is from RNAcentral.